UAUCACUUUUGCAGAAACAGAUUUUGGAUAAUUAAUUUGUUCUGUCGUGUAUUUGAUUUUAAUCACCUCAGUUACCUAACAAGAUUCUCUUGUCGCUUUCUACUAUAUCGAUAUUUUGGUAAUACGAUAACAAAACCAAGCGCAAGCUUUAUGACGGUAAUCAGCAACAAAAUAAAAAUACAAAUAGAAAAAUAAAAUUAUCUUUAUUAAGAUGGAGAAUCCUAAAAAAGUUUAGGACACGGUUGUUCUACGUAAUUGUAGUCUCUUUAUAGUGCUCAACUUGUACAUAUGGAUAACUAUGAAAAAUUAAAAUCCACAUUGAUUAACAAUCUGAUAAUUUGAUCUUAUUUUUAACACAAGCACCCUCAGACGACUAGUCAGAGAAAUUCUUAGCUCGAUUUUUUCGAUUUUGUUUAUUGUUUUAGUCAGCGCAAAUUGUAUAGUUCAUCUAAUAUUUAUUAUGUACAUGAGUAGAGAUGCUGAGACUAAUCAUAAGCAGUUUACUUAUUGAUCCAUCUCUUGGAUACAUAAUAAG
Molecule: long non-coding RNA, 535 nt
Filed under: Ananas comosus (pineapple)
Lineage: Eukaryota; Viridiplantae; Streptophyta; Magnoliopsida; Poales; Bromeliaceae
Description: long non-coding RNA (ACOM_LNC004741)
Source: RNAcentral